GGCUCAUGGACUGGUUACACCGGAAAAAAAAUCACCGACGUUGUGAACAUCGGAAUCGGAGGAUCAGAUCUAGGACCACUCAUGGUCACCGAAUCGCUGAAAAACUACCAAAUCGGACCGAAUGUGCACUUCGUGUCGAACGUCGACGGAACCCACGUGGCAGAGGUCACAAAGAAGCUCAACGCCGAAACAACACUGUUCAUCAUUGCAUCAAAGACAUUCACAACUCAAGAAACAAUCACUAAUGCUGAAACAGCGAAAGAAUGGUUUUUGGCAAAAGCCGGAGAUGCUGGAGCAGUUGCUAAGCACUUUGUCGCACUUUCAACGAAUGUUACGAAAGCUGUUGAAUUCGGAAUUGAUGAGAAGAAUAUGUUUGAGUUCUGGGAUUGGGUUGGUGGGCGAUAUUCCCUUUGGUCAGCUAUUGGACUAUCAAUUGCUGUUCAUAUUGGAUUCGAUAACUAUGAGAAGCUUCUCGAUGGUGCAUUUUCUGUUGAUGAGCAUUUUGUGAAUACUCCAUUGGAAAAGAAUAUUCCAGUUAUUCUUGCAAUGAUUGGUGUACUCUAUAAUAAUAUCUAUGGUGCUGAGACUCAUGCUCUUCUUCCUUAUGAUCAAUAUAUGCAUCGAUUCGCCGCAUAUUUCCAACAGGGAGAUAUGGAGAGUAACGGGAAAUUUGUGACACGUCACGGACAACGUGUCGACUAUUCGACUGGACCAAUUGUUUGGGGAGAACCUGGAACUAAUGGACAACACGCAUUUUAUCAGUUGAUUCAUCAGGGUACUCGACUGAUUCCAGCGGAUUUUAUUGCUCCGGUUAAGACGUUGAAUCCGAUUCGUGGGGGAUUGCAUCAUCAG
RNAcentral lists this small RNA (852 nucleotides) under Caenorhabditis elegans. RNAcentral describes it as "Unclassified non-coding RNA Y87G2A.30". The record is from RNAcentral. Lineage: Eukaryota; Metazoa; Nematoda; Chromadorea; Rhabditida; Rhabditidae.